GCACUGUGCAGCCAUAUUGGAUUUUUACAUUUCUGGUCAUUUCUGAUUGGCUAUUUAUUUAGACGACUGCGCAUUCACGGGACUGGUACACCUUUAUAUUUACAUCAUGGGUACUCGGUAGUGAUAGAAAAUAGCGGUCCUCACUAUUUUCUGCUUCCGUGUCGGCAUUGUAAUAUUGUGUUUUCUUGACGGCACAGACAAUAAAGGUUUUCGAGAAGAAGAAGCGGUCACAGAGUUUUAAGGUCUUUGCUCGGAUCCGUUUUUACCAAGCCAGUGUUGUAAUAAUUGUUCUGACAACAAGGGGGAACUGAUCCGUCGUGACUACACGUUGUCAAAGAAACUAUUUCGAGGGUCAAGAAUGUUCCUAAGAGUGACAUUGAAAGUAUUAUAAAAAAGUGGCUGCAGCACGCUAGUGAUCGAUUAAAAAAAGAUAAGACAUAAUGGCUGCAUUCGGCAGAAAAAGCUGCUUUGCAACCGUUGUAAAAUUCGUGAAUAUGAUUGGCGUAUGCUUUUAGAUUCAAUCAAAAUUAAGCGCAUACGACAAUCAGAUUCAUGAUUUUUACAACAGUUGCAAAGCAGCUUUUUCUGCCGAACGCAGCCAAUGUCUGUGAUUUGAACAAUAUGUUUAAAACAUAUAUGUACAAGUAUGUGUAAGUGCUUUAUAAAAAAAAU
Ooceraea biroi (clonal raider ant) is the source of this 672-nucleotide long non-coding RNA. RefSeq lists it as uncharacterized. NCBI's taxonomy places the organism in Eukaryota, Metazoa, Arthropoda, Insecta, Hymenoptera, Formicidae. The record is from RefSeq and is a predicted model, not a curated record.